GUGUCAAAUAUUUAAAUCAUGUAAACCCACAGAAGCUAUUACGUGUAAACCCACUCAAAAUUCUGAAUGGAAUUCCUGUGUGCAAAUCGUGUAAAUCCUUGAAGAUCCAAAUCCUUCGUCAAUCCCUGCCAAAUCCAAAUUGGCCUUCUCUCAUAUUUUUGCACGGAAUUAGUGGGUUUAGAUUUUGCUGUGCAAACCCAUUCCAGAAGCCUUCAAAUCCUUGAAGAUCCAAAUUCGUUGUCAAUCCCCGCCAAAUCCAAAUCCUUUGUGUAAACCAAAACUUUUGUUUCUUCCCACGAUUAAUCAUUUGUUCAAACCCACGUCGCGAUUAUGUGCCCUGAUUCUUCACUGUGACCUACUGCAACUCUCCUCCGGCAGCAUCUCCACCGUCUCCUUCCAACUCCGGCAGCUUCCUCGGUAGUUCGAACACCUCCUGAUCCGACUCCAUGAUUGUCAAUCCGGUUCUCGACAUGCAUAAGUAGUAGAGGAAGAAUGACACUUGGAGCUAAAUUUUCAUAUUGUGUUAAUUAACCAUUUUUAUUUUAGGAUUUAAUGUUGUUAUUAUUACAUGUAUUGGUAUUACGUAAAUAGUUGGAGAUUGUGGUUGACAUUAGUUUUAUUUUAUGUGAUUAAUUCAAUGUUUUUGAAGUUA
Diospyros lotus (date-plum) is the source of this 652-nucleotide long non-coding RNA. RefSeq lists it as uncharacterized. The record is from RefSeq and is a predicted model, not a curated record. NCBI's taxonomy places the organism in Eukaryota, Viridiplantae, Streptophyta, Magnoliopsida, Ericales, Ebenaceae. The transcript has 2 exons.